AGAGUUUGAUCCUGGCUCAGGAUGAACGCUGGCGGCGUGCCUAACACAUGCAAGUCGAGCGAUCUUCUUCGGAAGAGAGCGGCGGACGGGUGAGUAACGCGUGGGUAACCUGCCUCAUACACAUGGAUAACAUACCGAAAGGUAUGCUAAUACAAGAUGAUAUAAGAGAUUCGCAUGGAUUUCUUAUCAAAGCUCCGGCGGUAUGAGAUGGACCCGCGUCUGAUUAGCUAGUUGGUAAGGUAACGGCUUACCAAGGCGACGAUCAGUAGCCGACCUGAGAGGGUGAUCGGCCACAUUGGAACUGAGACACGGUCCAAACUCCUACGGGAGGCAGCAGUGGGGAAUAUUGCACAAUGGGCGAAAGCCUGAUGCAGCAACGCCGCGUGAGCGAUGAAGGCCUUCGGGUCGUAAAGCUCUGUCCUCAAGGAAGAUAAUGACGGUACUUGAGGAGGAAGCCCCGGCUAACUACGUGCCAGCAGCCGCGGUAAUACGUAGGGGGCUAGCGUUAUCCGGAUUUACUGGGCGUAAAGGGUGCGUAGGUGGUUUCUUAAGUCAGGAGUGAAAGGCUACGGCUCAACCGUAGUAAGCUCUUGAAACUGGGAAACUUGAGUGCAGGAGAGGAAAGUGGAAUUCCUAGUGUAGCGGUGAAAUGCGUAGAUAUUAGGAGGAACACCAGUAGCGAAGGCGGCUUUCUGGACUGUAACUGACACUGAGGCACGAAAGCGUGGGGAGCAAACAGGAUUAGAUACCCUGUAGUCCACGCCGUAAACGAUGAGUACUAGUGUCGGGGGUUACCCCCCUCGGUGCCGCAGCUAACGCAUUAAGUACUCCGCCUGGGGAGUACGCUCGCAAGAGUGAAACUCAAAGGAAUUGACGG
Molecule: ribosomal RNA, 877 nt
Filed under: uncultured bacterium
Lineage: Bacteria
Description: bacterial SSU rRNA
Rfam family: Bacterial small subunit ribosomal RNA
Source: RNAcentral